RNAcentral lists this ribosomal RNA (461 nucleotides) under uncultured Proteiniphilum sp. RNAcentral's name for it is "bacterial SSU rRNA". It matches the Rfam family "Bacterial small subunit ribosomal RNA", at positions 923 to 1382 of the family's 1533-position model. Lineage: Bacteria; Pseudomonadati; Bacteroidota; Bacteroidia; Bacteroidales; Dysgonomonadaceae. The record is from RNAcentral.
GCACAAGCGGAGGAACAUGUGGUUUAAUUCGAUGAUACGCGAGGAACCCGUUACCCGGGCUUGAAAUGCAUCUGACCGGCCUUGAAAGAGGCACUCCCUUCGGGGCAGAUGUGUAGGUGCUGCAUGGUUGUCGUCAGCUCGUGCCGUGAGGUGUCGGCUUAAGUGCCAUAACGAGCGCAACCCUCAUCAUUAGUUACCAUCAGGUAAGGCUGGGGACUCUAAUGAGACUGCCAUCGUAAGAUGUGAGGAAGGUGGGGAUGACGUCAAAUCAGCACGGCCCUUACGUCCGGGGCGACACACGUGUUACAAUGGGUGGUACAAAGGGCAGCUACCUGGCGACAGGAUGCUAAUCUCGAAAACCGCUCUCAGUUCGGAUCGGAGUCUGCAACUCGACUCCGUGAAGCUGGAUUCGCUAGUAAUCGCGCAUCAGCCACGGCGCGGUGAAUACGUUCCCGGGCCUU